This 433-nucleotide ribosomal RNA is filed under the name uncultured bacterium. Its description in RNAcentral is "bacterial SSU rRNA". It matches the Rfam family "Bacterial small subunit ribosomal RNA", at positions 30 to 506 of the family's 1533-position model. The record is from RNAcentral.
UUGAACGCUGGCGGAAUGCUUAACACAUGCAAGUCGAACGGUUGUAGCAAUACAGCAGUGGCAGACGGGUGAGUAACGCGUGGGAACGUACCUUUUGGUUCGGAACAACACAGGGAAACUUGUGCUAAUACCGGAUAAGCCCUUACGGGGAAAGAUUUAUCGCCGAAAGAUCGGCCCGCGUCUGAUUAGCUAGUUGGUAGGGUAAUGGCCUACCAAGGCGACGAUCAGUAGCUGGUCUGAGAGGAUGAUCAGCCACACUGGGACUGAGACACGGCCCAGACUCCUACGGGAGGCAGCAGUGGGGAAUAUUGGACAAUGGGCGCAAGCCUGAUCCAGCCAUGCCGCGUGAGUGAUGAAGGCCCUAGGGUUGUAAAGCUCUUUUGUGCGGGAAGGUAAUGACUGUACCGCAAGAAUAAGCCCCGGCUAACUUCGU